RNAcentral lists this ribosomal RNA (433 nucleotides) under uncultured bacterium. RNAcentral's name for it is "partial 16S ribosomal RNA". It matches the Rfam family "Bacterial small subunit ribosomal RNA", at positions 29 to 507 of the family's 1533-position model. The record is from RNAcentral.
AGCGAACGCUGGCGGCAGGCCUAACACAUGCAAGUCGAACGAACUCUUCGGAGUUAGUGGCGGACGGGUGAGUAACACGUGGGAACGUGCCUUUUGGUUCGGAAUAACUCAGGGAAACUUGUGCUAAUACCGAAUGUGCCCUUCGGGGGAAAGAUUUAUCGCCAUUAGAGCGGCCCGCGUCUGAUUAGCUAGUUGGUGAGGUAACGGCUCACCAAGGCGACGAUCAGUAGCUGGUCUGAGAGGAUGACCAGCCACACUGGGACUGAGACACGGCCCAGACUCCUACGGGAGGCAGCAGUGGGGAAUCUUGCGCAAUGAGCGAAAGCCUGACGCAGCCAUGCCGCGUGAAUGAUGAAGGUCUUAGGAUUGUAAAAUUCUUUCACCGGGGACGAUAAUGACGGUACCCGGAGAAGAAGCCCCGGCUAACUUCGUG